Molecule: ribosomal RNA, 253 nt
Filed under: uncultured bacterium
Lineage: Bacteria
Description: partial 16S ribosomal RNA
Rfam family: Bacterial small subunit ribosomal RNA
Source: RNAcentral
UACGGAGGAUGCAAGCGUUAUCCGGAUUCAUUGGGUUUAAAGGGUGCGCAGGCGGAUUGAUAAGUCAGGGGUGAAAUCCCACAGCUCAACUGUGGAACUGCCCUUGAUACUGUUAGUCUAGAGUAUAGUUGAAGUGGGCGGAAUGUGUCAUGUAGCGGUGAAAUGCUUAGAUAUGACACAGAACACCGAUCGCGAAGGCAGCUCGCUAAGCUAUAACUGACGCUCAUGCACGAAAGCGUGGGGAUCAAACAGG